CUAUGGAUGAGAAAUGCGGAUAUGGGACUG
This 30-nucleotide non-coding RNA is filed under the name Cricetulus griseus (Chinese hamster). The record is from RNAcentral. RNAcentral also lists the same sequence under 1 other name. Lineage: Eukaryota; Metazoa; Chordata; Mammalia; Rodentia; Cricetidae.